GAUGAAGAACGCAGCGAAAUGCGAUACUUGGUGUGAAUUGCAGAAUCCCGUGAACCAUCGAGUCUUUGAACGCAAGUUGCGCCCGAAGCCACUAGGCCGAGGGCACGCCUGCCUGGGCGUCACACGCCGUUGCCCCCCCAUCUACUCCUUCGGGAUUGCGGGGGGGCGGAUGAUGGCCUCCCGUGCGCCUAGCCGCGCGGUUGGCAUAAAUACCAAGUCCUCGGCGACGCACGCCACGACAAUCGGUGGUUGCGAAACCUCGGUUGCCCGUCGUGUGCGUUCGUCGCGCGUCGAGGGCUCGAAAAAAUGCUCGGCUCCGGCUGGGCUUUCAACGCGACCCCAGGUCAGGCGGGGUUACCCGCUGAAUUUAAGCAUAUCAAUAAGCGGAGGA
Molecule: unclassified non-coding RNA, 391 nt
Filed under: soil metagenome
Description: partial contains 5.8S ribosomal RNA, internal transcribed spacer 2, and large subunit ribosomal RNA
Rfam family: 5.8S ribosomal RNA (bases 1-122)
Source: RNAcentral